AACGAACGCUGGCGGCAGGCCUAACACAUGCAAGUCGAGCGAGGACUUCGGUCCUAGCGGCGGACGGGUGAGUAACGCGUGGGAACGUGCCCUUUGCUUCGGAAUAGCCCUGGGAAACUGGGAUUAAUACCGGAUGGGCCCUUUGGGGGAAAGAUUUAUCGGCGAAGGAUCGGCCCGCGUUGGAUUAGGUAGUUGGUGGGGUAAUGGCCUACCAAGCCGACGAUCCAUAGCUGGUUUGAGAGGAGGAUCAGCCACACUGGGACUGAGACACGGCCCAGACUCCUACGGGAGGCAGCAGUGGGGAAUCUUAGACAAUGGGGGAAACCCUGAUCUAGCCAUGCCGCGUGAGCGAUGAAGGCCUUAGGGUUGUAAAGCUCUUUCAGCUGGGAAGAUAAUGACGGUACCAGCAGAAGAAGCCCCGGCUAACUACGUG
This 433-nucleotide ribosomal RNA is filed under the name uncultured bacterium. RNAcentral describes it as "partial 16S ribosomal RNA". It matches the Rfam family "Bacterial small subunit ribosomal RNA", at positions 29 to 507 of the family's 1533-position model. The record is from RNAcentral.